Molecule: non-coding RNA, 863 nt
Filed under: synthetic construct
Source: RNAcentral
GAAUUUAUAUUCAGUUGCGCCCUCGUGUGUGAUUAAAUUCACAACAGCGUCUAUAACAUCAAUAUCUGUAGAAAAUAUACACCUGACAGUAUCUGGCGAUACAAGGCAUGAAUUGCUGUGGUAUCUGGCCAUUUGGGAAACCCGGUGUACCUUACAAGAGGCUCGCUGAUGUAGAAACAGAUGAGAGAAUGGAGAUGGAGAUCAGGCUGGGUAUGCCCCCGGGGGUGUUGGCGGCCGACCUGAUUAGGAGCACCAAGGAUAAGCAGGUCCUGGAGCAACUCUAUCUUCUGGCCGUGCAGGCAAAUAAUUUAACAGAGCACAUCAAGAGAUUUACCUUGGGUGAGAUACCAGAAGAAUGUAAAAAUGUUACCAGAUCUCAAUUGGAAAAAUUAAAGUCUGUCCAACACAUAAUUUGGAACACAAUGAUAUCAUUGGCUGCUGGGGCAAUAAGUGUAGAUGAGGCCACACUUCCAGCCCUGCUGGACAAGAGGGCAGAGGAAACGGUGGCUCUUCUCGAGAUGGAGAAAAUAGCCACAGCAGUCAAACUGGAUGAGACGGCCGCAUGGGCCACUGACAUUGCUGGUAUUGUAUCUAGCCAACCUUUGGCCACGCCCCCAAGUGAGUCACCCGACCAAAUAGCACUGAAAAAAGCCACACAACUUUCAAAUGCUGUUUAUUGAAACUGGUCACACACAUCAUUUUGUGUGCAGUUUUAUUAAUUCACCCCACUUGACCCAAACCCCCGCCCCUCCCUAGAAGGCUUUCCUGGCCUCUGUUUGCUGUAUCGCCUAUUCUUUUCUUCAGCAAUUUCAGACUUGUCUGCAGCUUCGUGCGGAACCCUAAUAAACUGUACAACAGCUAAA